This 2628-nucleotide long non-coding RNA is filed under the name Harpegnathos saltator (Jerdon's jumping ant). Its description in RNAcentral is "uncharacterized LOC112588106". Lineage: Eukaryota; Metazoa; Arthropoda; Insecta; Hymenoptera; Formicidae. The record is from RNAcentral.
GAUCGUGAUCUUUCCAGUCCGCUUGUAUUCUUCUGGAACUGCUUUCUCGCCAGACGUGGCGUCAAAGUCGACUUCAGGAUGUACUUGCUAUUCACCUUCUUCAGAGUCACAGCAAGUAGCAAAUGAAGUAUGUUAAGAGAAGCUUAAUAAGAAAUGACGUACUUCCUUCUAUAUAUGGUGUUAACGAAGGCGAACUCGACCAUCGCUGCAAAUAAAAAUAUAGUGCAGCCCAGGAACCAAAUCUCGCUGGCCUUUAUAUAGGAGACCUUCGCAACGACACCAAUCACGAUAUUCGGGCGCGAUUAUUACCCAGGACUAUUCGUGGCGCGCUCGCGUCCACGUGCAACCAAAAGGACACCCAAGAGAUCACCACAAUUAGUAUGGACGGAACGUAAUAAUCCAUCAUGAAGAAUCCCAUUUCACGAGCCAGUUUAAAUGUAAUAUUUAUCGAGCUAAAAUUGCCGGCUGCAACCGUCGUCAUGAUUAAUGAAAUUACGAUAUCCCGGAGCUGUUGACCCACGUGCCUACGAGCUUGUACUCCGUCAGGUAUAAGUUGCUCGCGAUGACGAUUGGCUCCUCAUCCCAGUCCAACACCAUCUCGUUCACGUUGUGGGUCCCUGUGGGGAGAAAUUCAUCCGGUUCAAUCCACCGCGCAACAGAGGCGAGCACAAGCGACAUUACAAUGUACAGCCUACUGACAACUCUCGAAGACCAGCGGGCACUCUUGCACGUCGAACGGGAACUUCUCCAAUCGAAGCCCGCAAUUCAUGGUGGCUUCUAGCCUGAAAUUCAAGCGAAGGUUCACCGUACACAUCGACCACUCGUUGGCGUGGUCGCUCCGCGAGAUUAAAAUGACACAGAUCUGCUUUGUGAUUUCCAUCGAGAUCGGGGAUAAGCGUCGGUGGUGUACCUUGUGUUCAACAUGACCAUGCCUUGAGGGUUGAUGGAGAUCAGCAGAUCUUUCACACCGCUCCCCAUCACGGCCGAGGUGCGUUCGUUCGCGACGUACACAGUCGGGGUCCAGAUCAAGUCAUGAGCUGAUUGUCCGCCGUAUAUUUGCGUCAAGUACAAGUAAAAGUGCGGGAAGGUACCAGAGUUUUCGCCAUGUUAGAUUUGAUCGUGUAAAUGAAAGCUUUGGUGUAAAUUUUGAUUGGGUCAGUGGCGUUCAUCACCCCCGGCGGCCUGACCAUCUUGUCGUAGCGGCACUCGUUCGCCAAUUCCUGCAGGAGUUCCGUCUGGGUCAUAGAGCUACCGAAUGAUGGACAAUUUCCCGAUCUGUGCAGAAUUUAUAAUUCGUCGCAACUCGCUCCAAUUGCAAAGUACGAAUCAUUUCGAGAAGGGAAGAGGGAACAAGAGGAAGAGGGAGAAGAAGAGUCGUGCACAAGAUUUCGCGAAACAAUUAUGUAAAAAUUUGUUUUCGCGACUGCGUCGCUCACGUGACGGAUUAUAUUUUCGCCGAGAGCAUUACGCACUCCGGGCGCACGUGCUUCGCACUUCGUAUAAACGCGCCAUCACAAAAGAACGCCGACUGUAUUAAGUUCUUAUCUGGCUGUUGUGUGCUACUUGAAUUUACAAUGUCGGGAAUAAUUCUCGCCAAAUAUCCUGUUUAUGUAAGAUAUGCAUAUUUACAUGCAUCUUUGUCUGGAGAAUUGUGUGUACUCGUCGAGAUUAGGAUUAAACUGUCUUGUGACGUUAUACCGUAUCAUAUGACACCCCGCGACUGCAUCGAACAAUAAACAUUUGCACAUUGGACCUUCGAUAGUUUUACACGUCGUGAUGGAGUUAGAAAAGAAAGAACAAAAAAAGGCAUCGGUUUCGUCUAUCUUCUGCCAAGAAAAUGCUUCUUCUUUCCAAUUAAGAUCGAGCGUGUCGUUGCGUAAACGCAAUUGACUCAAUGUAUCGCGCUAUUUUUCUUGAAUUUCCUCUCGAUUAACCUCGUUUACGGUGGCAAUUAUAAUUUCGCGAGUUCUUAGUUAAGACAUGACACAGUACGUCACAGCGCAAACGAGCGCGAUAAUGAUAAGGCGCGAUGAGAGAGAAAGAAGGAGAAAUCGACGAGAGGCAGGCAAGAAAUUAAAUUUUUGAACACCGCUAUUAUUUAGACAGAUGUAUAUCUCCCCGCGAUUCCGCGACGUAUGUUGCCGUCGACGAAACGCGGGUUCUCUUUCUGUCUCUCUUUCUUUCUAUCUUUCUUUCCCAAGUACAACGGCAAAUGAUAUCCGUUUACUUACAAGAAUAAUCGUUAAAUGACUUCUGUCCAAGCUGUCAUUCUCGGCCGAAAUUACGGCGCUGUUUCACGCAAAAAGAGCGACGAGCAAUUUUUGCGACGCGCAUGAAAAAAGCUCCCACGGGGAGAUAAUUUAUGGCGUUACUCCAGUUCAUUAAUACCGUUCGUUUAUUUACGUAUUUACGAGGACUCUGAAGGUCAAAUGUUACGCGCUAAUAAGUUCGAAAGCAGCCGUAAAAUUUUACCAAGGCUGGAAAUAAUAAUUAAACGAAUUUUAUCUCUUAUACGCCUAACGAUACACGUUUCCCUAAAUUUACUCGGAUGUGCGCGAGCGCGUUUUCGCCGGGGUCUCUUUUAUUUUCUCACGUAAAAUAUAUAUAUUUCUUAUUCGCGGGAAAACA